UACGAAGGGUGCAAACGUUGCUCGGAAUCAUUGGGCGUAAAGCGCACGUAGGCGGUCUGUUAUGUCGGAUGUGAAAGCCCUUGGCUCAACUGAGGAAGUGCAUCCGAAACUGGCAGGCUAGAGUACUAAAGAGGAUCGCGGAAUUCCCGGUGUAGAGGUGAAAUUCGUAGAUAUCGGGAGGAACACCGGUGGCGAAGGCGGCGAUCUGGGUAGAUACUGACGCUGAGGUGCGAAAGCGUGGGGAGCAAACAGG
This 253-nucleotide ribosomal RNA is filed under the name uncultured bacterium. Its description in RNAcentral is "partial 16S ribosomal RNA". It matches the Rfam family "Bacterial small subunit ribosomal RNA", at positions 524 to 776 of the family's 1533-position model. The record is from RNAcentral.